AUUGACCAAGCUCGAGGAUAGAGUACUCAUAAUUUAACCAGCUAGCUCUGGGUUCGAGUGGCAUUUCACCCC
Molecule: transfer RNA, 72 nt
Filed under: Magnolia x alba
Lineage: Eukaryota; Viridiplantae; Streptophyta; Magnoliopsida; Magnoliales; Magnoliaceae
Description: Magnolia alba tRNA-Lys
Source: RNAcentral